AUGCUCUGCUGUUCUCUGGCCCUGCUGCUGGGCACAUUCUUAGGUGUGAGAGCCCAGACAAUCCAGCAAUGUCCGCGGAGCACGGUGAAGCAGGCAGGCGGCCGCCUGUCACUGGAAUGCACUGUGAAGGGGACAUCAAACCCCAACCUGUACUGGUACCAUCAGGCUACAGGGGGGACCCUCCAGCUGCUCUUCACCUCCAUCAGUGUUGGGAGUGUCCAGUCUGAGGCCCCCACGCACCUGAACGCCGUCCGGCCCCAGGACGGCCAGUUCAACCUGACUUCUGAGAAUCUCACCCUUGGCGACUCUGGCUUGUACCUCUGCGCCUGGAAGAAGCACGGAGAACUUGGGAAAGAGAAGGAAAUAACGGUCCAGGGCCACGCGGCUGUGGAAGGGGACCAGAGGGAGUUCCCGGCCUAG
This is a non-coding RNA of Condylura cristata (star-nosed mole), 420 nucleotides long. The record is from the annotation of a RefSeq genome assembly. NCBI's taxonomy places the organism in Eukaryota, Metazoa, Chordata, Mammalia, Eulipotyphla, Talpidae.